Molecule: long non-coding RNA, 533 nt
Organism: Clarias gariepinus (North African catfish)
Lineage: Eukaryota; Metazoa; Chordata; Actinopteri; Siluriformes; Clariidae
Exons: 3
Source: RefSeq, a predicted model, not a curated record
AAAGCCGCUUAGAAAAGCGGGGAUUAAAGUCCCAAACCUGACUUGAAUGAGCCGAGCUAAACAUCCGCGCUUAAAUUGGUUCCAUAACAGUAAAUUGAGGAUCAUGUGAUCUUACUAAUUUGAGUCAGGUUUAAAUAGUCUAGAUAAUUGCGCGUGCACGCCAUUGUUUAAAAGUCCUGAAAAGUCGAGCAUGGGUCAAUCGAUUUACUGUGGGCUACCAUGGCAACAAAAGGAAAAGAUAGAGCAGCGAUGUUCACGGCAACGGAACAGCGUUUGCUAUUGGAAACAUAUGAAGAAUUUAAAGAUGUCAUUACCAAAAAAGGCAAUACAGCGGCAAUAAAUAAAGCAAGAGAGAAAGGUUGGCAGGAAAUUGCUGAUCGUCUCAAUGCCAGCAACUUAAGUGAAGGAAAAAGAACCUGGCAGCAGGUGAAAAUAAAAUAUAAAAAUAUAGUUCAGAAUGCGACCAAAAAGAAGACUGAGGUUGCUGGCACUGGGGGAGGGCCACCACCAGCCAGCUUCACUCCUGCAGAGGA